UCAAUCAUACAAUCCCUCUUCUUCCCACACAUCCACAAGAAAAUUCACCAUUUCCUGCAACAAAUAACACACAACCCUCCAUCAAAAACACACACAAAUAUGCAAAUCAAGAGGCCAGUCGAGCGUCGUCAAAGGUACAUGAAGCGUACACCUAGGAGCCAACAAACCAAAGCGAGCAGUUUAAUAAGGCGCUAUUGCGGCCAGGACCUUGGUCCAGGCACAGUAUACUUUUAGCCCAUUGAAGCAGUUAGCAUGAGAAAGAACUCAUUACGCUUUUCAAAAGCAAAAUACGCAGCUCCUAUUUGCACAGGAAGACUUACCGGUAGAGGGACUGGCUUUGGAAAAGGCUUGUUACUCCCAAGCAAAUUAUCAUAUGUUGCAUUCCAGCUACACAAUAAAUAAUAAAUAAACAUAAAAGUGAUCAGAUAAUGUUAUCAAAUAUAUAAUCCAGAACUUAAUAUACAGUAUAUGUUGUCAAAAGCGCAAAAAGCGCGCCUCUAGGCGCUCGGGCGCAGCGAGGCGCAACUAUAGCGCCUGGUGGUAGCCUAGACGCAAAAAUGGGUUUUUUUUUUGAAAAAACGGUGCUGAGGCGCAAAAAGGCGCGCGACUAGGCACAAAAACGGGUACUGAGGCGCAGCGCAUAAGCAGAAAACACAAAAAAAAACGAAACCGAGUGCGUGCAAAAACUGCCUCACGCGGGCCCGGGUUUUUGGAGCUGCAUUCGUGCAGGCACGCACGAGUUCAACCAAAUUCCAGCUCAGAAACUCAUUUUUGCAUAUAUAAUAGUUUUUUUAAUUUUAUAUAUGGAAUCUUAUUUAUUUUCAAAGCAUAAAAUAUUUUUUAUAUUUUUUUCUCUAUGUGUGCUUUUCUUAAAAAAGCCCACGCUUUUUUUUGCGCCUUGCGCCUAGGCUCCGGGCGAGGCCGAUGCGCCUCGCCUGCGCCUUGCGUCUGUGCAUAUAGGUUUUAUGAUUGAAUUAUAAAAACUUUUUGUGUAAUACGAAAAUUAAAUUUGCUUCUACAUGUACACCUUUCUGUCAACCUACAUGUUAUAUAUUUAUACAAUCAUGAACUUUUUUCUUCUUAGUUCUACAAUUAUUAGUGAAUUAUAUUAUUAAAUUCUCACCUUAUAGCAGGUUCUCGAGUUUUCUUUUUGUGACCGGAUCCCUUAUCUCCAAUCCAUUGUUGUCUUGUUUGAUUCCAAAGAAGAAGACCUGCAAACAACAACAGAAUUCAGAAUCCAUCAAACACGUCGCAACGUGCAUAUGUGGUUCAACGUUUUUACCUCUAUUUUUCCCAUUUAGUGGCUGCGUUAUGUUUUACGUUUCGGUCUAAUUUUUGCAUAUUAACACGCCGCAACAACCAUGCAUGGUUCAACGUUUUUACCUCUAUUUUUCCCAUUUAGUGGCUGCGUUAUGUUUUACGUUUCGGUCUAAUUUUUGCAUAUUAACACGCCGCAACAACCAUGCAUGGUUCAACGUUUUUUACAUCUCCUUUUCGUUCGGUUUUAUUUUCUUCGUUUUUUUUAUUUCUUUUGUUUUACGAGCUUUUCCGAUGUUGGUGGUCGCUGACGACGGUGUGGCAUUGAUGCUACCUGGCACGGUUUUACUUUUCAUCAUUUACAAUUUUUUCGUUUUUACUUCUCGGUCUAAAUUUUUCGAGUUAACACGUCGCAACGUGCGUAUGUAGUUCAACAUUUUUACCUCUAUUUUUCCCAUUUAAUGGCUGCGUUAUGUUUUACGUUUCAGUCUAAUUUUUGCAUAUUAACACACCGCAACAACCGUGCAUGGUUCAACGUUUUUUACAUCUCCUUUUCGUUCGGUUUUAUUUUCUUCGGUUUUUUUAUUUCUUUUGUUUUACGAGCUUUUCCGAUGUUGGUGGUCGCUAACGACGGUGUGGCAUUGAUGCUACCUGGCACGGUUUUAACCCCCCCCCCCCCCCCCGCAACGCGCGCCCAAAGGGUGGGGCUACUACUAGUUACAUUAAAAAAUAGAACUUUUUAAAAGUAAUUAAGAAAAGACCAUCUUUUAUAAAACUUUAGAUAUAAACAUAUUACUCUAGUUAUUUUGAAACUCAUAUUGGUGAAUAAAAUAAAACGUACCGCGAUUUACAAAUUCAGGAGGAUUGCUUCCGGAACUACUGUGGGCAUCAAGGUUAGGGUUUGACAUGCUAACUGACGAGGCACUUAACUGCGACUGACCGGCACUGUUAUCCAUCUCAUAUGUA
Long non-coding RNA from Helianthus annuus (common sunflower), 2223 nucleotides. RefSeq lists it as uncharacterized. The record is from RefSeq and is a predicted model, not a curated record. Lineage: Eukaryota; Viridiplantae; Streptophyta; Magnoliopsida; Asterales; Asteraceae. The transcript has 2 exons.